UUCAGUAUGGCAGAUAAAUGCACUAAUCUUAAAAGUUAGCUAUAGAACAUGUAGUUUUUAUUGAAA
Molecule: transfer RNA, 66 nt
Filed under: Calanus finmarchicus
Lineage: Eukaryota; Metazoa; Arthropoda; Copepoda; Calanoida; Calanidae
Description: tRNA-Leu
Source: RNAcentral